UCUGCAUAGCUGGAGGGUCACUGUAGAACACCCACGGGAAUGUCCCCUGGGGGCGGCUCUCUAAUGGAGCAAGAAGAGGUGACCGUGAACACAGUGGUUCAUGGGGUCUGGGGUCCUGCCCUCUUGUUCUGAGUCUUGCUUGCCUAACCAGUGAGACUAACUGAGGACUGGUGGUAGCCCAGGGGAGCAGAGCAGAUGCAGGAGAGUCCUUGCCCAGCUUGUCUCAGGUCUGGAUUUGGUCUCCAGCAUAGAGAUGGGCAGCAGCGCUGGAGGUGAGAGCCAGGACCUUCUGCAGGCUAGGCAGAUACUGGACCUGGGCCGCAGAUGCUGGGCCACAGAGCUGCGUUCUCUGCCUGGAAACCACGUGAGCCAUUUCUGUACCUGUGGGUGAGAGUCCCUAAGAGAACGCAUAAGGCAUUUCGGACACCAUCUAUGGAGGUUCUGGAUAUGGGCCCUGAUUCUACUCAUCUAAUUAAACAAAGCCCUGCAAGCAGUGCUAAUGAAGCGGAAGCCACGAAAUGUCCUCUCGCCUGAUCCUAGUUGAUGCGUCUGUAGCUGGACUCAUGAUUGCAGGCCGCAUUCCAAGUUACCACCCUGGUCCCCGGAGAGACUGACUGCGUGACCAGUGAGGGAGACCCUGAGACUGAGCCCUCGCCAGCCCUGCCAAAGGCCCUGCCCUGAACUGACAAUCAGCUGAUGACCUCAUCGGGGCUAAGUCCAGGGGUUGCCCCAUCAAUGGACACACACUUUGCUUUGUUCUCUGUCCCAGAUCUCAACAAAGUGUCAAGUCGCUGCCUUUGCUGAAGCCUCUGGAAAAAUUCCAGGUCAAGGACACCAAUAUUUACCACCUCUCUGCUGGGGCUGGGCAGGCUGAGGGCAGAGUUACUGUGCCAGCUUGUGGCGCCCCCUAGCUGUUCCUCCCUGUCCUGCAUCAUGAGGAUGUUCAGCUACCGUGAGCUGACGUGAGCCUCCUUCCCACCCCUCCCCCUAUAUCCUUAGUCACCUCUCAUCCGUGUGGGCCCUGAAUCCGGCUUAGAUGGCAGGCUCUGGGUCUCUCUCCUGCAUCAUGCGUGAGCAUCCGACGAGGGUUGGGGCACAGCUGCACUCCUUUCAGGCCCAGGGAAUGCUGCCCUGCCUCCUCAUCCUCAGAACCACCUGCCACUAUCCCAGCUGUCUCUGAUCCCUUGCUACAGCUGCGGAUCUGCCAAGGGCAGCAUCUAAGUCAACCUGGAGGCCUGGGAGCGGGAAUUCCAGGCUACUAGACAUUCUUUUCUCCUUAACCUUGACCGUUUUCGGCACGGUCAAACCUGUCUUCCUUCCCUCUGCCAGCUGCCUAGCCACCCUGUUUGCUGAGCACGAGGUUGGAAAGAGGACUCUUCCUUGACCGCAGUUUCUCUCCUCCCUACCCUUUGUUCUUCCAAUACAGGGACCUUGCUGAAGCUCUCGGAUUGGAUCUCCUGCCCAGAGCAUAAAUAUCCAUCUCUGUCCAGUUUGUUCCACAGGAUGAGGGGCUGGCCCAGUUAGCUCUGGCAUCUCUUGGAGUUGUCAUGUUGAAUAGUAGCUACUAUAAGGGCCUAGGAUGUCUGAGAUGAUCUCCCCUCCACUCACCCCUGACUCUGUUAACUGAGAGAGAACCCCACACUUAACCCUAGAAGACUACAAAGGAGAAGAGGAGAUAGAUCUGGGGACAUGCCCCUAAGCCCUCUUUAAGAAAGGACAAACAGUGCAUGCCUUUAAUCCCAGCACUUGGGAGGCAGAGGCAGACGGAUCUCUAAGAGUUCAAGGCCAGCCUGCUCUACAAGAGUUAGUUCCAGGACAGGCUCCAAAGCUAUAGAGAAACCCUGUCUCAAAAAUAAAUAAAUAAAUAAACAAAUAAAUAAAUGAAGGAAGGAAGACAAACUGUUCAACUUCAGGGUGGGCAAAUAUCCUUGCUCACAGUCACGUGCUUGCUGAGACAGCCCACAGGUCCUGACAGAGUGAGGAAGGAAGACCAAAGCUGACCCAUCUGGGCCCAGUCCAGACUCAUCUAUGUAGGCGACUUGUACCCUAGAUCCUACACUUGAAGACGCUAAGCCUGAAUCACGGUUCAUUUGCUCCCUCCACACAAGCUACCGCUCUACACCUCAGUCCUCAAAUCCCAGUGAACCUGGCCUACAAGGGUGCUCUGAGACGCACCCUGCCCUCAAAUGACUGGUUGUUAUAGACUGAAAGUCUGUACAUGACUCAAAACUCAUCUGCUAAGGCCCCCCCCUUCCCCCUAGUGUGGUGGUGUGUAGCGUGGAGCCUCCGGGCAGAUGAUGAUAUGGAACAUCUGUGAUAACAUUAGUGCCCUCAGAAGAAGACAGAGAGUUCAGCAAUGCCUCUGUUGUGUGCACAGAAAACACUUAGCGCUAACACAUGCAACUAUAAGGCAAGAAAGCCCUCCCCAGACAGCCAGUCUGCUGUGUCCUGGAUCUUGGACUCCCCGGUCUCUAAAGUGUACCAUGUUUCAGUGCCCUAGUCUGUGGUAAGUGCUAUCAGCCAGGCUGACGGAGUCGCUGGUGUUCUGUGCUCGCAUGGUGCUGGAGCCCCUCUGAAUGCGGGAGAACUUUACAUGACGUCAGCCCAGAGCUGCACCUGGGAAUUAGUCAGGCAUUGCUGCCUGGCCAGACCUCAGAGUUCUCCCGCAAGCAUGAGAUGCUAGCAAGUCACAGUUUCUGUUUGCAUGUGAACUGAGUUCCUGUUGAGAAAGAGAAGCAGCCAGUGGUGUGUCCUAAGUUCACAGAGUGGCGUCAAUGGCUAGUUCCAAGAGCAAAGAACCACAGGGCUGCUUACCUAAGGAUUCUCAGCCCAGAGCAAAGGACAGCAGCUCCCAUUCUGGUACCGGAAAGACAUUUCAAGACGUCUCAGGCACAGGAGAUACAACGAGUCUGACUUCCUUUACUUACCAAUGAUUUUCCAUAUGCUCGGUUCCCACACAGAUUCGAAGCUUUGGGCUCAGGAAUGCCCACUGUGAAAUUGAACAGAAGAGGUAUUACUCAGCUGUACUCUGAGUUCUGCCUCCCUCUGCUUCUGAAUCAAUGAUCUCACUAGCCGUCCAGUCAUAGAGGGACGUUCUCAGGUCCUUCGUACCAAGCGGCAAAGUCCUGCAGGGCUGGCCAGGCAAUGCUAACUGCCGAGUGGGGUCACCCCUACCCCUGCCACUCUCCCAGGAAAUGGAACUAAGGUCAAUGUAGUUCAACGACCAUGAUAAGCGUGUCAUGGCGGUGGGGAUGCUCGGAGUGGAGGAGGCUGCACGCCUGCAGGCAGAAGCCAGAGCUAGGGAAUCUGUGUACUUUCAGCUCCGUUUUGCUGUGACCCUCAAACGGCUCGGGAAAAACUAAGUCAACUGAACAAGAACAUUUAGCACUGCGUCUGCAGGCGGUAGGUACUCAUUGAGUGGCUUCAGCACUUACUUCCUCCUUUCCUGAGCUCUCAGCUCACAAGAAAUUAGUUCAAGAAAUGAGCUCCAUUAUUAUGCCAUGCACAUGUGAUUCUUACCGGUCCUCCCCCACUUCCCUCCCCAGUCCUCUCUGUCUUCCUGCUGGUCUCCUCCCCUCCCUCAGCCCAGUCUUGUCUGCUUCCACCUCACAAGUAUUUUCUUAUCCUCCCCUCUCCCAGAUCUCUGUUUUCCCCUCAUGUCCUCUUUUCUAAUUCCAGCACACACCUGCCUAUGUAAAGUAAAUCUUAGGAUCUCAGAGAUGGCUCAGUUGGUAAAAGCCCCUGCAAUGCAGACCUGAUGGCCUGAGUUUGGGAGUCAGGAACCCAUGUGAUACUGAAGAUCUGUGCAUUUUGUAGGCAGUCUUAGACUGGACGCCCAAAGACCAAUCAAACAACAUUUAAUCAUAGCAACUGAGUUUAAAUGGUUGCCUACGGCUUGCUGACUAGUUGGGCUGGACACUAGUUAAAUGGGAGCCAACCGACUGGUUGAUUGACUGGGUUGUAGCCAAGUAGGUUGUUUUCCGUGCUUUGUUGUAGAUUCCACUUUGUUUCCUGUCGACACUGCCUACCAGCGGUGCUGGUUACAGCGAGGAACCUGCUCUGGGAGUCAUCUAGUUCCUGAAUCCCUUUUCCCAUGACUUAACACAAAAGCACGUGCUACUAAACUCAGUUGGUCUAGGAGAAUGCCCUUUUAACCCCACCAAGAUCAGCCCACAGCGAGCGGUGCCCUUGAAUUAGCAGUAACAGCAGCUCACUUUCAAAGGAUGCCAGGCCUUGUGCUGAGCGUCAACUGCAUCAAAGUGGCUGACCUUACUCCCUGCAGGCCCCACAUUCAUAGCUAAGAAGUAUUGCAAAAUAUUGCAUUUGCAGAGCUGAGAAUGUAGUCCAGUGGCAGGGGGCUUGCUCGGCACAGGCAAGACCGUGGCUUCCAUCCCCAGCAUUGAGCCAACAACGUGAUGAAGUUGCAUUUGUGUAGCAAAGCAUGCUAACGCACACAUGGAAUUCGAACCAUGGGAAGCAGGAGUUCAAAGAAAAGUGAAUCUGAGGCACAACUUGGAUCAUGCGUGCCUGUGUUAAAAAACAAAAUAAGAAAAGCCAACCUUGUACUGAACAAGCACAUACUUAUUCUCCUUGUUGUCCUUGCCUAAACAAUACAGCAUAACAAGUGUUUUCAUAAUAUUUGUAUCAUAUGAGGUAUUUACCUAACUCUCUGUAGAUGAGUCAAAGUGGAGAGAAAGACAGAUGUGUACAGGUUACAUGCAACCAUUACGCCAUUCUAUAUAAGCAUGGUGCUGUUUGGCAUCUUAAGUGGGUCCUGGAACCAACUGUGCCUGACCUGGAGACGGCUGCAUCUCAUUUAAUCCUUCCUGUCACUUUAAGAGGGAGGACCCCGAUGGUCGGCACAUUUCAGUUGGGGGAAGUAAGGCUUUAGUGACGCAUAACCAUUCAUCUGAAGGCAGACAGGGUGGGUGACAUGUCUCCUAUGUUCUCAGGCAUUUGAAUGCUUGGUCCCCAGUUGGUAUACCUAUUUGUGUAGGCUGAGGAGGUGUGGCCUUGCUGGAAGAGGUCUAUCACUGGGGUCUGGUUCUGAGAGGUUAAAGACUUGUGUACUGUCAAGUUCACUCUGCUUCCUGUUUUCAGUUUGAGAUGUGAGCUUUCAGCUGCUGUUCCAGGCACCAUGUUUGCAGUCUGCAGCCUUGCCGUCCUUGUUAGUAUGGUCACUAGCCCUCUGGAAUUGUACACCUAAAAUGAACCCUUCCUUGUGUAAGUUGCCUUGGUCGUGGUGUUCUAUUGCAGUAAUAGAAAGGCACCAAAGCACUAGGUAAAGAUAGUUUCAGGAAGUGUUAGCCUCUUGUAGACCUGGGGAAGCUUGGUCCCAACUCAGGAGGAGGUGGAGCUUUGCACCCAGAGAGGGAACAAUAGUGAAGGUUCAGGGAAACAGAAUGGAAGGGGCCAUCAGGGAAUUAUCCCGCAGCUCAGGGCUGUUCUACCUCACAGAAUGGUAAGGACAGGAGUGUCACAGGAGGUGGCCAUGGAACUCAUUAUGACUUGGAGGAACUUUGUAGGGAGGGCUUGGGGGCAGAGGCCUUUCACUGGCCUUGUCUACAUAUGUGAGACGUUGCGGGUCUGAGCCAGGAAGCUUGAGAAUAAAAGACUGACUUGGGCAGUACACGAUGACAGCAACUACCUACAAAGUUAUGACAGCAGCUAAGCAUGGUAGUGCACUCAUAAUCCUGGCUCUUGGGAUACUGAGGCAGGAGGACCAUGAGUUUGAAUUCAGUUUGGGCUACACUAUGAAAUGCUGUCUUUUAAAGACCACAAAAGCGAUGCUUAAAACUACACAAGGGAAGUGGCGCUGACCAGAACAUAAGGAGACUGGAAAUUGUAUGCUGGCUCUGUGGUUGCCAAGGAAUGUCACCUUGCACAGGUCAAACAAUUCCUACAGCAUUGGUUUUUCUGUUCUGUGAAUUGGAGCAGGGUGACUGCAGAGGUCAAAUGGAAGUGUUAGAAGGGUCACAAUCUACUUGACCUUGGUUCUCUCUCUCUCUCUCUCUCUCUCUCUCGUGUGUAUGUGUGUGCAUAAAACACAGAUUGCUAUGCCUUAACCCUGGAAAUUCUAGUCAAAUAAAAUGUGCUUUUCCAACAUAUUUCUGGGUGCUGCUCCUGGGAUCCCACUUUGGAUAUCUCUGUAGUAACCUCUCUCUAAAACCUUGCUGCUCAAUCUGUUGACCCUGUAGUUACAAAAGCAGCACCAUCUGGGUGUGUCAGUAAUGAAGCCUCAGGAUCCAUAGGUGGACUAGCAUCCUUCUGAAUUCAACCCUGCAUCCGGGAAAGGCCUCUCGUUGAUAAUUGUGUACACAGUAAUUCAAGAGGUAUGGCUUUUAAAUUGGCUUUAUGAUUUUUGGAGCAAAGAGGAAUAUUCUGCCUAUUUUUUCUUUCCACACAUGCACACCCUCCCACUCACCUAUACAUAGACACAGAGAAGAAUCUAUCUCCUCUUAAUUUGCAAGGCAGAUUGUGACUUUUCUAAUGCUUCCCUUCUAUUUACAUGUAUGCAAUCAAACUUAACUGAGGGCAUAGCUUGGUUUAUAUGAUCUUGUACCAUCGAUCAUGAGUGCAGGGUGAGACAAAGAAACCUAGUCUGACACCUAAGAAAAGCAAUAACUGAAAAAAACAACAAAACUUGGAAGAAAACAUCAAGAAAGGGCCUGGAAUGGGAAAAGAUGAAGGAACACAGUCAGUAGAGACUCAUGUCAGGUCCUGUAAAAUACAAAACUGCUAAUGCCCAAAUCUUUGACAACAUUUUGGAUUUUCUUGUGUGUAUGUGUGUAUACAGGUGUGUGUUCAUAUCAGUGUAUGUGAAUGCAUAAAAUGAAGGGGGUGCAUGUGGAAGCCAGAAGUUAACCUUAGGUAUCAUUCAUCUUGUUUUUGAGACAGUCUUUUCUUGAGAUCUGAGGCUUGCCUAUUAGGCCGGCCAGGAGCUCCUGGGGUUCUCCUGCCUCUGCCUCCCCAACACAGGAUUGCACUCACACUGCACACCCUGUAUGAGGUUGUACACACACACACACACACACACACACACACACACACGCACACACACACUGCACACCCGCUUUGUAUGUAGGUCCUGGAUUAGACUCUGGCCCUAAUGUUUGUGUCACAAAACUUUGACAACUGAGCUAUCGCCCUAGCUCCUGGGUUUUGAGGUAGAAUCUUCUCAAGCCUAGGCUGACCUUGAACUCAUGACAGUCUGCCUGCCUCAGCUUUCAAAUGCUG
Myodes glareolus (Bank vole) is the source of this 7236-nucleotide non-coding RNA. NCBI's taxonomy places the organism in Eukaryota, Metazoa, Chordata, Mammalia, Rodentia, Cricetidae. The record is from RefSeq and is a predicted model, not a curated record.